CCGUAAACGAUGCCAACCAGCGAUUAGCCUGAGUUCCUUAAAUGACUCGGCUAGCAGCUUCCGGGAAACCAAAGUGUUUCGGUUCCGGGGGAAGUAUGGUUGCAAAGCUGAAACUUAAAGGAAUUGACGGAAGGGCACCACCAGGAGUGGAGCCUGCGGCUUAAUUUGACUCAACACGGGAAAACUUACCCGGCCCGGACACUGGCAGGAUUGACAGAUUGAGAGCUCUUUCUUGAUUCAGUGGGUGGUGGUGCAUGGCCGUUCUUAGUUGGUGGAGCGAUUUGUCUGGUUAAUUCCGAUAACGAACGAGACUCUAGCCUACUAAAUAGGCCACCGGCUUACUGACGUCGGUGGGACUUCUUAGAGGGACAGCGGCGAUUCAGCCGCACGAAACAGAGCAUAACAGUCUGUGAUGCCCCUUAGGAUGUCCCGGGGCCCGCACACGGCGGCGCCUACCACUUGAGGUGAUCAACCGUGGCAUUAACAAAACCCUGCCUCCGUUCAGGAGAGUGGGGGAAACCCCAUUGGAACCCUUCUUUCCGUGGAUGGGGAUAAGGGGGAAUUGUAUUAAUUUCCCCCUUGAACCAGAGGAAAUUUCCCAAGUUAAGGCGCCGGAUCAUAUAAGGCUCCCGCGGUGGAUACCGUUCCCUUGCCCCUUUGGUAACCCACCCGGCCCGUUCCGCUCUACCUACCCGGAUGAGAAUGAGAUUUAGGUGAGAGGUCUUUCGGAACUGUGCCCGGCGCGCAGCUCUGUUCUUUCGGGGCGCGGCCGCCGCUGUGUGUUUGGGGAAAGAGUUGCCCCAAACUCUUGGAUAUCAUUUAAAAGAGGAAGGUAAAAAGGUCGUUAACAAGGGUUUUCCGGUAAGGUUGAAACCUGGCGGAGAGGAUCAAGGGGCCAAAUUCGUUUUAAACCUGGCGAGACUUAUUCCCUUUUAGUGGAGGGUAUAUUCGAACCUGGACGAGAAGUGAGUUUUUCUCUGUGUCGCUGAGAGACUCUC
RNAcentral lists this ribosomal RNA (998 nucleotides) under uncultured eukaryote. RNAcentral describes it as "bacterial SSU rRNA". The stretch from base 1 to 893 matches the Rfam family "Eukaryotic small subunit ribosomal RNA", at positions 1030 to 1831 of the family's 1831-position model. The record is from RNAcentral.